AAGCCAUGGUGUGGGCAUAGUUUGAGCAUAUUUUUAAAUCUAUCCCACGCUUCAUAGAGAGAUUUAGUGUCAAAGUGUCUGAAACUAGCAAUUAAAUUCUGCAUAU
Zingiber officinale is the source of this 106-nucleotide small nucleolar RNA. The record is from RefSeq and is a predicted model, not a curated record. Lineage: Eukaryota; Viridiplantae; Streptophyta; Magnoliopsida; Zingiberales; Zingiberaceae.